RNAcentral lists this long non-coding RNA (685 nucleotides) under Homo sapiens (human). RNAcentral's name for it is "non-protein coding lnc-SMIM20-5:1". Lineage: Eukaryota; Metazoa; Chordata; Mammalia; Primates; Hominidae. The record is from RNAcentral.
CGGGGCAACAUGAAGAAACCCCAUCUCUACCAAAAAAAAAAAUUUUUUUUAAUUAACCAGGCGUGAUGGUGUGCGUGUGUGGUCUCAGCUACUCAGAAGGCUGAUGUGGGAGGAUUGUUUGAGCCCAGGAGGUUGAGGCUGCAGUGAGCCGUGAUCUCACCACUGCACCCCAGUCUGGGCAACAGAGUGAGACCCUGUCUCAAAAAAAAAAAAAAAGAAAGAAAGGAAAAGAAAAAAGAACCAUAGAAAGACAGAUUUUUGUUUUUCAAAACUAAAUUAAUUGAUUGCCCCUCAGCAAAUGAUACCUCAUCAAAAGCUACUUCUUGUUGUUGCCCGAUACUUUUAUAAAACAGCUUCAAUGAGGUAUACUUACCAUGCAAUGAACUGCACAACUUUAAAAUGUUCCAUUUGGUCAGUUUUGACCUAUGCAUAUACCUGUUAAACAAUUAUCACAAUCAUAAUAAACAUAUCCAACAUUCUUAAAAGCUUCUUCUCGUCUUUUUGCAAUCUUUCCCUCUCAUUCCUCCCCUAAAAACAGUAGUACUGAUCACAUUGGGUUGUUGUGAGAAUUUAAAUAAGAUUCAAGCAUAGAGAGAGCCAUGUUAUAUACACACUUUGUUUUCUGUCUUUAGGUGGGGGAAGCCAUUGUCUAGUGAAAAAGACCUGAAUUCCGUGCCCAGAUCAC